UUGACAGCCCAUGAGAUAGGAGUCUUCUACCUACUGAAGUGGCCCAGUGUAGGUGUGAGCAGUGCAAGCUUUUCCAAUGCUCUGCCAGUGUGCCUCAACUCUCACUUGGAGGGACCACAUCUCGAAUGGGAGGAGAGUUCAUUCUCCUCUGGAAUGGGAGGAGAGUUCAUUCUCCAUAUCUAAUCAAUCCUUGGCCUUC
Molecule: small RNA, 199 nt
Filed under: Chrysemys picta bellii (western painted turtle)
Lineage: Eukaryota; Metazoa; Chordata; Testudines; Emydidae
Description: TUC338 (ENSCPBG00000013308.1)
Source: RNAcentral